This 70-nucleotide transfer RNA is filed under the name Camelus ferus (Wild Bactrian camel). It matches the Rfam family "tRNA". From Rfam's summary of the family: Transfer RNA (tRNA) molecules are approximately 80 nucleotides in length. Their secondary structure includes four short double-helical elements and three loops (D, anti-codon, and T loops). Lineage: Eukaryota; Metazoa; Chordata; Mammalia; Artiodactyla; Camelidae. The record is from Rfam by way of RNAcentral.
UGGGUAAUAGCUCAGUGGUAGAGCAUAUGCUUAGCAUGCAUGAGGUCCUGGGUUCAAUCCAGUAUCUCCA